This 82-nucleotide transfer RNA is filed under the name Candidatus Bathyarchaeota archaeon. Its description in RNAcentral is "tRNA-Val". It matches the Rfam family "tRNA". From Rfam's summary of the family: Transfer RNA (tRNA) molecules are approximately 80 nucleotides in length. Their secondary structure includes four short double-helical elements and three loops (D, anti-codon, and T loops). The record is from RNAcentral. Lineage: Archaea; Thermoproteati; Candidatus Bathyarchaeota.
GGGCCGGUCGUCUAGCAUGGUUAGGACGUCUGCCUGACAAGAGGGUUCUGUAAGGUCGCCGGUUCAAGUCCGGCCCGGCCCA